AGGAGACUAGUUAUGAAGGGUAGGGGUCAAUAAUAGAUCAAGCCAUCGAUAGGAGACUAGUUAUGAAGGGUUUAGGUAUAGGUUAGGUUAGGUAUUGGGUAGGUUGAUGAGGUGAUGGUGUAACACACACAAUGGUCUCUACACACUCAUCAUCGUCAUCAACAACGAUAAAACAACCACUAUGGGGUGGAAAUGGGAGACUGAACCCUCCCAUGCAAAUAAAAAGGAAAACAGAGCACGGAUGGAUCACUGAGUGUACUGCUGAGUGUACUACUGAGUGUACUACUGAGUGUACUACUACUGAGUGUACUACUGAGUGUACUGCUGAGUGUACUACUACUGAGUGUACUACUACUGAGUGUACUACUGAGUGUACUGCUGAGUGUACUGCUGAGUGUACUACUACUGAGUGUACUGCUGAGUGUACUACUACUGAGUGUACUGCUGAGUGUACUACUGAGUGUACUACUGAGUGUACUACUGAGUGUACUACUGAGUGA
Molecule: long non-coding RNA, 500 nt
Filed under: Oncorhynchus kisutch (coho salmon)
Lineage: Eukaryota; Metazoa; Chordata; Actinopteri; Salmoniformes; Salmonidae
Description: lncRNA (ENSOKIG00005019775.1)
Source: RNAcentral